GCCGAUGUGGUGGAACUGGUAGACACGCGGCACUUAGGAUGCCGUGUCUUCGGACGUGCAGGUUCAAGUCCUGUCAUCGGCACCC
RNAcentral lists this transfer RNA (85 nucleotides) under Aeromicrobium sp. Root236. Its description in RNAcentral is "tRNA-Leu". It matches the Rfam family "tRNA". Rfam says of the family: Transfer RNA (tRNA) molecules are approximately 80 nucleotides in length. Their secondary structure includes four short double-helical elements and three loops (D, anti-codon, and T loops). Further hydrogen bonds mediate the characteristic L-shaped molecular structure. tRNAs have two regions of fundamental functional importance: the anti-codon, which is responsible for specific mRNA codon recognition, and the 3' end, to which the tRNAs corresponding amino acid is attached (by aminoacyl-tRNA synthetases). tRNAs cope with the degeneracy of the genetic code in two manners: having more than one tRNA (with a specific anti-codon) for a particular amino acid; and 'wobble' base-pairing, i.e. permitting non-standard base-pairing at the 3rd anti-codon position. The record is from RNAcentral. Lineage: Bacteria; Bacillati; Actinomycetota; Actinomycetes; Propionibacteriales; Nocardioidaceae.